AACGAACGCUGGCGGCAGGCCUAACACAUGCAAGUCGAGCGAGGACUUCGGUCCUAGCGGCGGACGGGUGAGUAACGCGUGGGAACGUGCCCUUUGCUUCGGAAUAGCCCUGGGAAACUGGGAGUAAUACCGGAUGAGCCCUUUGGGGGAAAGAUUUAUCGGCGAAGGAUCGGCCCGCGUUGGAUUAGGUAGUUGGUGGGGUAAUGGCCUACCAAGCCGACGAUUCAUAGCUGGUUUGAGAGGAUGAUCAGCCACACUGGGACUGAGACACGGCCCAGACUCCUACGGGAGGCAGCAGUGGGGAAUCUUAGACAAUGGGGGAAACCCUGAUCUAGCCAUGCCGCGUGAGCGAUGAAGGCCUUAGGGUUGUAAAGCUCUUUCAGCUGGGAAGAUAAUGACGGUACCAGCAGAAGAAGCCCCGGCUAACUCCGUG
This 433-nucleotide ribosomal RNA is filed under the name uncultured bacterium. RNAcentral describes it as "partial 16S ribosomal RNA". It matches the Rfam family "Bacterial small subunit ribosomal RNA", at positions 29 to 507 of the family's 1533-position model. The record is from RNAcentral.